GCAUUGGUGGUAUAGUGGUGAGCACAACUACCUUCCAAGCAGUUCACCUGGGUUUGAUUCACAGCCAGCGCA
This 72-nucleotide transfer RNA is filed under the name Loxodonta africana (African savanna elephant). It matches the Rfam family "tRNA". Rfam says of the family: Transfer RNA (tRNA) molecules are approximately 80 nucleotides in length. Their secondary structure includes four short double-helical elements and three loops (D, anti-codon, and T loops). The record is from Rfam by way of RNAcentral. Lineage: Eukaryota; Metazoa; Chordata; Mammalia; Proboscidea; Elephantidae.